GUUAGGGAUGGAAUAGGUUCGAGCGAAAGAGUAGGGCAGACAGACCGCCAACACUAGUGGAAAGCCGUAGAUCAAAGAGAACAAGAAUUCUAUAAUUUUCAGCUUUAUGUCAGUGCGAUUUUAUUGGGCAUGAAUUUGAGUUUUUGAAAUUUCACUAGAAAAGCUUGAUAGGAAUUAAGAAACACUAAUUUGCAUUUAGAGAACUAAGAAUUCCGAGGAAGAAAGAAAUAGAAGGCUUUGAAGUAUAUUGAUAAAUUUUUCAAAGGAAAGAGUGCUGAACAGAUGGACUUGAAAUCAAGAGGAAAGAGUAAAAAAGUCCGCCAUGGUGGUCAACUAGGGAGUGAGAGUAAGGUUGAUGGGAAGGGCAAGACAGCUGUAAACUCAGGUUGGACAAGGAAAAGAAUAUUUGCUGAUCAAUAUGUUGAUGGAGAAUUAUCAUCCAACAUAAAAAGUAAAGACUUGUCUAAGAAAGGAAAAAGGCAGAUGAAUGAUAAUACCAUUAAAAGGAAAAAUAGCAAAGGACCUCCCCGCUCGAUUUGGGUUUCUGAUAGAAUGAAGAAUGCUACUUUGGAAAAAAAACAUCCUUCUUUUGAUGUUGUAGAUGCAACAGAAAGUGCACAGGUGUCCAGUGGUAAACGGAGUACCAGGGCGAGGAAAGAGGGUAAAGUGGGUGUUGACAAGUAUGAUUUACCGAAGAAACAAUCCAAAAGCAAAUUGGACUCAAGUAAGCGCUUGGUUCAAAUUCAAACCAAGCAUCCUAUUGUACCUAAUUUGACAUCUUCAAAGAAAACAGUGCAGAACAAACAAAGCAUUGCCAAUGGUGAUUCAGACAUAGAUGGCCAGCCAAAGAAGAAAAAGCGUGUAAUUCGGUUAGAUCCACAUGACAUCUCAAAUAAACGGCUAGAUGAUGGAAUAGUUACUAAUGAGAGUGUGCAAAAGAAGAAAAAAGAAUCUGAGACAGAAGCUGAAAUGUCAAAGAAUGCACAAUUCCGUGCGAUAAAACCUGGCCCUUCUAUGCUUUCCUUUGUGGAAGAUAAUUUUUUAGGCCGUAGACGAUUGAUUGAGCUAAAAAGGGCAGGCUACAACAUCGAGUUAUCUGCCCCAUUAGAUAACAUUCCUUUCUGUACAAGCUCUGAGAGAGAACGGAUUGAAGAAAAUAUUUUUAGGAACAAAUUGACAUUUUUUGCCGCUGCAAAAGUUUCAUCUUCGUUCCCUUCUCCUGAUCUUCCAGAGAUUGCAUUUGCAGGAAGGUCAAAUGUUGGGAAGUCAUCACUUCUAAAUGCACUCACUAGACAAUGGGGUGUUGUACGGACAUCAGACAAGCCUGGCCUUACUCAGACUAUUAAUUUCUUCAAGCUGGGGUCAAAGGUCAGUUUGGUUGAUUUGCCUGGAUAUGGAUUUGCAUAUGCAAAAGAAGAAGUUAAAGAUGCUUGGGAGGAGCUUGUGAAGGAGUAUGUUUCCACCAGAGUUAGUUUAAAACGAGUAUGUCUUCUUAUUGACACAAAAUGGGGUAUGAAGCCAAGAGACCAUGAACUCAUUGAUUUAAUGGAAAGAUCUCAGACCAAAUAUCAGAUUGUAUUGACCAAGACAGAUGUAAUAUUUCCAAUUGAUGUGGCACGCCGUGCAACGCAAAUUGAAGAGAGCCUCAAGGCAAACAAGUCUAUAGUUCAACCUGUGAUGAUGGUAAGCUCAAAAUCUGGAGCUGGUAUCCGAAGUUUAAGAACAGUGCUUUCCAAGAUUGCUCGGUUUGCCAAGCUCUAAUCAUGGUUAGGUUUGUACUUCAUGGGUAAAGCCUGUUGUAUAAUUUGGAGAAUCUUUAUUCGUGGAGCGGGCCUUGCACCCAUGCAAAUAAAUUGAACUGGCGUAUCUCUCUCACCUAACAAGUCUUGUUUAACGCGUUUGUAAUGGCUCAUGCUCAAAGUAGUUUGUCAUUGAGUUCAUAGUUAUGCCUUUAAUAUCAUUUUAGUAUGGACUAGUCAGUUUACUUGGUGGUUCCUACUUGACUUCUUAUUUCUGCCUUUUCCCUUAGUAACUCAUGGCUUGGUAAUUAUCAUUUGAUCCAUGCAAGAAGUGGCUUAUUGUUUAUGUAAAUGUUCUAGGGUUGGCAUGACUGAACUGAAAGCAAAAAUUUCAUUGGAUGGUUUGACGCUGCAUAUUUGUUCCAUUGUUUUUGUUCAUUGGGUGCUGAUAGCCUGCCUGCAUUAGCCAGCAUGAUGACACUAGUAGAGUUGAAGACUUCAUAAGGUAAAUGGAUGUUCAGAUUGCAGAUAUUUGGUGAAAUAUUUGAUCACCUGAGAUUUCUAGAUUUUCACAUUGUCAAAAGAAAUCAUUUCGCUCCUGAUAUUUUGUAGAUCUUUCUGCUAUUGAGAGAACAUUAGGAUCUGUAAACUGGUUGAUUGAUUCUUCGAUCGCUCUGGAGUGGGUAUCAAAUUUGGAAAAGCUCAUCAUUUCUGGAAUUAUAAUGCUAGUGCCAUGGCUGAUUUACUCAUGAGCAUUAUGCAUAUAAUGAUAUUGAUCUGAACAAGUAGAAUUUAGGACCCAAUGCCCCGAUUGAAAACUAAAAUUUUACAAGAACUCAAUUCAAUUGAUUUUAUUUUUAUUACUUCUCAUGUUUAGAAACUUAAUGGGAGAAAGAAUUCAAUUUCAAUUCUUUUUUAAUUACGAAUAAUAUUUUAAAAGAAAUAGAAAUUAUGUCAAAAAUAAUAUAAUU
This 2710-nucleotide unclassified non-coding RNA is filed under the name Hevea brasiliensis (rubber tree). Lineage: Eukaryota; Viridiplantae; Streptophyta; Magnoliopsida; Malpighiales; Euphorbiaceae. The record is from RNAcentral.